CGGGUGAGUAACACGUGGGUAACCUGCCUAAAAGAAGGGGAUAACACUUGGAAACAGGUGCUAAUACCGUAUAUCUCUAAGGAUCGCAUGAUCCUUAGAUGAAAGAUGGUUCUGCUAUCGCUUUUAGAUGGACCCGCGGCGUAUUAACUAGUUGGUGGGGUAACGGCCUACCAAGGUGAUGAUACGUAGCCGAACUGAGAGGUUGAUCGGCCACAUUGGGACUGAGACACGGCCCAA
Molecule: ribosomal RNA, 237 nt
Filed under: uncultured bacterium
Lineage: Bacteria
Description: partial 16S ribosomal RNA
Rfam family: Bacterial small subunit ribosomal RNA
Source: RNAcentral